CCAGAGCAGAGUUGCCAUAGCAGAGCUUCCAGAGCAGAGCUGCCAGAGCCAGAGCUAACCAGAGCAGAGCUUCCAGAGCAGAGGGUCAGAGCCACGUUGCCAGAGCAGAGAUGCCAGAGCCAGUGCUAACCAGAGCAGUGCUAACCAGAGCAGAGCUAACCAGAGCAGAGGUUCCAAAGCAGAGGGCCAGAGCCAAUUUGCCAGAGCAGAGAUGCCAGAGCAGAGCUGCCAGAGCAGAGAUGCUAGAGCUAAGUCAUUAAAGUCAGAGCCAGAGCCAAGUCAUUAAAGUCAGAGCCAGAGCCAAGUCGCCAGAUCCAGAGUCAGAGCUAAGUCAUUAGAGUUAGAGCGGGAUGAUGAGGAUAAAAUCCAGCUCAGUAAUUAGGGGACAACAACCUGACAAGUUAUAAUCUAAUAAUAGCCUUAAUUAGUUUAAUGGCGAGCAUGCGGAAUAGAUGACCAAACGAAUUUACUACUUUACCCCAACUGUAAUGCCUAUAAAUACCUACGAUGAUGAAAUAAAGCACACGCUCUCUCUUUUACUGCUUUAAGAACUCUUCUCUUUCCUUUCUCUCUAGAGUUUGAACUAAUAAAAUUACAUAUAUAAAUAAAAUAUCUAAAUUGUUAGAGUUAUGUUUGUUAGAUAGUUGACAAUUGGAGUCAUGGUUGAAUAUAAUUUCAUAUUUGAUGAUGGUCUCUCAAACUCUAGAUGAGAUGAUGCUCAAAACUCCAGACGAGAUGAUGCUCUUUCAAGUUUUAGACGAGAUGAUUCUCUUUCAAGUUUCAAACAAGAUGAUGCUCAGAAGUUAGAGGUGAUCUGUCAAGUUUGCGACGAGCUGAUGCCCACAACUUGGUUGGUCUUAAAACUCCAAAUGAUACGAUGUUCGAUAAAUCAGUUAUGGUCUUUUAAAUAUCAGGCGAUAUUAUUUUCAUAAUUAGUUAUGCUUUUAGAAGUUCGGAAUUAUAUGAUACCUAUGUCAAAUUUAUAUGUAUUUCUACUCUCUCUUUUUUUUCUUACGCGUCAACUUUUUAUAAAAUUUCAUAUGAAAAUUAAUGGGCAUUUUUAUGAUCUCAACAAAAUUAAUAAUUUAAUUGCUAAAAGUUGUUGACAUUAAUAUAAUUUAAAAUGUAUUACUAAUUUAAUUUAAUUUAAUUUAAUUUAAUUAAUUAUAUAAAUAAUUUACAGAAAAAAUUAUUUUAUAUAAUUAUCAUAAGAAUAACAUAAAAUAUAUAAAUUACAAGAAAAUAUGUACCCGUCGAAUUUCGACGGGUAAUACACUAGUAAUAAUAAUGGGGUUAUCCAAAAUUGCACAAUUUUGCAUCAUAGUAUUUAAUUCUGACACCAGAUCAUGCAAUUUUGGCAUGAUUCUCUUUUUUUGCAUCACAUUUGCGGGUUCGCACAAGUAUGAACAAAAUUCUUAUUAUUAAAAAAAAAAUGAAUAAAAGAUAUUCGCUGAUUUACCGACUAACUGCAUUCCAUAGCAAUUUAUUAAUAGAUUACCGACGUGUUUAUCCCGCAACAAAUACCGAUGAAUUUUCGGAGUGACUACUGAAGAAAGAGAUUAAUCGAGAAUUUACCAAAUAAUCAAAGAAAUAAAAGGUUGAAUAUUAAAUUUAUUUUUAUACCACUCAGUAAAUUUGCGAAAUAAAAAGAUAUUCACCCUCUAUUAUUUUGUUGAUUUUUAUUAGUAGUGAAAGAUUCACUAAUUCGUGGACAUGUGGUGAGAUUGUAUCAUAAUAUGUUUUACACUGAGGAGUAACAUCCAUGUAAACACAAACAUUAAAGAAAUAAAUCAAAACAACAACUCGGUAACCCAGUUCGGUGAAACACCAACAUCUAGGGGGACUUCGCCUGGGAAAAAGGAUCCACAAAAUGUUUUUUGUGAAAAAUCUAAGUAUUGGCAUUAUCUAGAGACAUAUGUUUUUUUGUGAAAAAUCUGGAAUUGGCUUGUUGAAUGUUUGGUUGGAAAUGAGCAUCGUGGAACCACCUCUUUAUUAGAUUUAUAUGGAUUUUGCUUGAGGACAAACAAAAAGCUAAGUGUAGGGGAGUUGAUUUAUGCCUAAUUGUUCUUAUUUUGGGGGUUUGAUUGUGCUAAGCCUGAGUUAAUUGUUCUGGAAUUUGGUGCGUUUAUGAGUCUGUUUGAUGCUUUGUAGGAGGUUUUGAUAAAAUAGGAGGAAGAAUGCUAUGUUGGAGAUUUUGGAUCAAAAAUUGCUUAUUUUGGUUCAAAGUGGUGCCCAGCGCUGAUAAUCACUCGCCAGCGCUGAUAAGGCCGCAGCGCUGACAAUCCCUAGCCAGAGCUGACCGCAUCCAGAGCUAACCAUAGCCAGAGCGGACCGCAUCCAGAGCUGACAAUCCCUCGCCAGCGCUGACAACACUCCCUAAAGCGGUCGAGGCAGCCAGAGCUGAACAAAUUCGACAGAGCUGAAUUCAUUCACCAGAGUAGGUUUCCAGAGCUGAAUUCCAGCGCUGACCAAAACUCGCCAGAGCUGCCUAUGUCUCCAGAGCUGCCUACGUUUCCAGAGCUGCCUACUUCUACAGAGCUGGCAAUCACGCACAAGGUCGCCAGAGUUGGCAAUCACUCGCCAGCGCUGCGGUAACUUGUCGAGCACUUUUUCCCAACCUGCACUCUCCUGUGCGCGCACGACUCUAUCUUUUAAGCCUAGAUUUGAUGGGCCCUCUUGAUUGACUUUAGGGUUGAUGAAAGGCAGUCUAUAAAAAGGACUUAACGGUUCAUGAUCAAGAUCAAUCUUCUGCCUCCGACAUAAAUCAUCUCAGCCUCCGGCACCAAAAACAGUUUAGGGUUUUUCUAGUUUUCAAAGUUCUUUAAGUUUUCCGAGAUUUUAUUUUAGUUAGCUUUCAAUUUUUGUUUUGCUUUAAUUUUUCGUUUCGAAGUUGUAAUCAGUGACAGUGAUUCAUUCUCGCGACGUUAUUGGUAUUUCUUAUUCACGUUAACUUCUUUGAAUUUGCAUGAAUUAUGUUGAGUUUUCAAUUUGCAAUUUCGUUUCUGUCAAAUUAGAUUAGAAAUUUUUAUUUACAGUUAUUUAAAUUGUUAGCGUAGUAGUUUUUAGUUCCUGGUAGCCUUUACUUUAUCUUUUAAUUCUGCCUAGGGUUUAAUAGUUUAUUCUCUAAGUUUAGUUUUAAGUUGAGUUUUCAAUUCCAAGCAUUAGUUUAAUUUAAUAAUCGAACCUAAAAUUUACUGCUUUCGCUGUGGUACAAUUAGGAGCCCUGUUGAAUCUUCCUUGAGAGAUGACUUGGGUUAGCUUACACACUACAAUAGAUCUCGUUCGAUUGCGAGUCAAUCUAGCAUAGUGUUUAGGUUGAGUUAGACGUUUUAAUUGUGUCACUUUGUUUUUUGUUUUUAUUUGCUUUGUUUAUUUUUUCUUUUUCUUGUUUCUAUCACUCUCUCCCUCCGGUGCGUUUAAUCCGUGUGUUAAGUGCUGUGUAUGCAGGGACGCCGUAGUCUGAAAAGAAAACUAGUGUCUCCUUUGGACAACACUAACACGGGUAUUUUCAGAAAGAACUGCUGCAAAGAAGUUUUUGAAGAACGAGAGGAAGGAUCUGAGUUUGACUCUGAGGGAAAGGAGCGUGACAGAGCAGACGCUUUCUACUCUGACUCUGAGGGAAAUGAGCGUGACAGAGCAGACACUUUCUACUCUGACUCUGAGGGAAAAGAGCGUGACAGAGCAGACGCUUUCUACUCUGACUCUGAGGGAAAGGAGCGUGACAGAGCAGACGCUUGCUACUCUGACACCACUCUGGAGGAUACUGCAGAUACUGAAUCGAAUCAUUCUGAAGAAUCCAGAGGUUAUCAAACAGAGAAAGAAGAAGAGCCAGCCAACCACAGCAAAGAAGAGAUGGCGCAAAACAAUCUGCAGUACAUGGGAGACUUCACCCGACCCGUCAUAGGGAACACUAACACUUCGGCUAUUGUGCUCCCUACCGCCAUAAGAAAUUACAACUUGAAGCCAAAUGAUUCAAGUUUGCUACCUCUUUUCUACGGGAUGUCGAAUGAGGAUGCCCUGCAGUUCAUUCGUGAUUUUUGCACUCAAGUGCAAACCAUCCCACUACUGGAUUUUCCCGAAUUCAAAAGACAUCAAGAAAAAUUGUCAUAUACUUAUAGCAUCUGGAUUUUCCCUAGAAACAAUCAAUCAUAGUAGACUGCUUUCGAAACAUGAUCAAGAAGGCAAAGGACGAGAAAUACAAAUAUCCACAUAUCGAGACACUAGUAAAUAGAAGAUAACUAUAUACGACUAAUCCUAACAACAGCAGUCUCAAGCAAAUCACAAGAAGCAGAGCAAAAUUUCGGUUAUGUACGAGAGUUUAGGACAAAGUACAUGGACCUCUGGACGGUGUCAUACUUAGACAAAUUCCAACAUCGCAAUUAAUCAAAUACCCUCUCUUAAAGUGCAACAAAUAUGUCAUGUAGAAGAGUUUUUACUAAGCAUUCAUAUGAAAAAUUACCCUUGUAAAUCAUGGAAUUUGAUGAAAAAGAUAGCCAUAACUUAUCAUUGUUUCUACUGUAAGAGUACUUUCCCACCAAAGUACGGAUUAAAAACACUUAGAGCACCUCCAGCGCUUGUGUCGAGCGCUGGAUCGACCCGCGUCGAGGAGGGGAGCGGCGCACUGGAGACCCGGCCAGAUGCGAAGCCGUGGUGAGGCAGAGACCCGGGGCGAAGUCGAGAGCUGCCUGGCGCGUCCGGCGGACGCGCCCAUUUAAAAAAAAAAUUGAAAUUCAUUUUGUUUUUAAAAAAUGACCGUUUGAUAUUUAUUAUUAUUUUUUUUAAAUGACCGUUGGGGCCAACGGCUGAAUUCAACAUUUUUUUCCCUUUAUCUAUAUAUAUCACAACUUAAUUCCAUUCAUUUCAUUAUCUAAAAAUCAUCUCCACAUCAAAAAAUUCUCUACAAAAAAUGUCUUCCUCCUCAUCAAGCCACGAGGACGAGCGACGUGCUGAAGAAUUUUCCAAUCUUGUGCAAGAAUUUAACCAAAUUGUUCAAGAUAUUGGUGAUCCAGAUGAGCAACCUCGUCGUCGGCGACAAAGCGUGGCAAAGAAGGCCUACAUUCAUCGGGACCGUGAAGCCGGCGCUCUACGUUUGCACGCGGAUUACUUUGAUGAAAAUCCGGUCUACCCCGACAACAUCUUCUGCCGCCGAUUUCGGAUGCGUCGUGCGUUGUUUUUGCGUAUCGUUAAUGCCGUCGCAUCCGAUCCAUACUUCCAACAACGCACGGAUGCACUUGGGAGGCCCGGCUUCACGCCAUUGCAAAAAUGCACUGUUGUUGUUCGUAUGCUAGCUAACGGUGGGGCAGCGGACCAAUACGACGAGUAUCUCCGGAUUGCAGAGUCCACCUCGUUGGAGUGCUUGCGCAGAUUCUGUCGAGCCAUUAUUCAACUCUUCGGCGCGGAAUACUUGAGGAGGCCGACUUCCGCUGACUGCCAACGGCUUCUAGCAAUGCACGAAGCGAAGCACGGCUUCCCGGGAAUGCUAGGGAGCCUCGAUUGCAUGCAUUGGCCGUGGAAGAAUUGUCCAACGGCAUGGCAAGGCGCAUACACUCGCGGCGAUCAGGGGGAACCGACCAUCAUCCUCGAAGUCGUCGCAUCGCAAGAUCUAUGGAUCUGGCAUGCUUUUUUUGGGACUCCUGGUUCGAACAACGACAUCAACGUGCUCAACAACUCGACGUUGUUCAACGAUCGGCUGCAAGGAAUGGGGGUGCCGGUCACAUAUCAAGUCAACAACGCCUACUACACAAGUGGGUACUACUUGACUGACGGCAUCUAUCCCAAUUGGCCUGUAUUCGUGAAGAGUCCUACACAUCCGACGGAUCCGAAGGGGAAGAGAUUCAAAGUGAUGCAGGAAGCGGCUCGCAAGGAUAUUGAACGAGCCUUCGGCGUCCUUCAAGCUCGUUGGGCAAUCGUCAAAGGCCCAUCGCGUCUUUGGAGCAAGGAGGCGAUGAGCGACAUCAUGUUCACGUGCAUCAUUUUGCACAACAUGAUCAUCGAAGACGAAGGCGAGCACGCAACACAGUGGGAAGAAGACGCCGACGAAGCUUCGAGUAGCGCCGCAUCUCAACCUCGUGCCGGUGCUCCGCCGGAUUUUCGUGCAUUUGUUGCACGACAAGCAUCCAUGCGAGACGCGGAGAUGCAUGCUCGCCUCACUUUGGACUUGAAGGAGCACAUUUGGUCUCGUUUUGGUACGAUUGAGCCCUAGAAAAUUAUUGUAAUUUUUAUUUUUUUAUUGUAUUUAAAUUAUGUCUUUAAAUUAUUGUAAUGUAGAAUUUUAAUUUUAAUAAAAUAUGAAUUUUAAAAAUAAAAGUGUAGAAAUGUGAAUUUUGUGGAAAUGGGGAUCUAAGCACCCACCUAAGACACAAUGCAUUGGAGAGGGGUGUGUCUUAGGUGGGGACCACUUCUAAGACACCCCUCUAAAACACUUGCAUUGGAAGUGCUCUUAGUAAUAAUUGGGUUUCCAAAUAAAAUAGGAGAUAGUCGCCCAAUCCCGAGUUCAGCCACAAAAAUUCAAGUGCAAUACCCAACACAUAAUCCCAAUAAAUUUGAAAACAAAAUCACGCCGGUCAUUUCACGCAGGGUUAGUUUAAGCACAUAACAAUCAUUGAGUCUUACACAAACAAUAGGAGCCUUGCUGAUCAUAGCAAGUCUUGUCACGUCCCUUUGCCUCAAGAUUGGCACACCCCCAGAGCUGAAAUCUGGGAAGAAAGCAUUUUUCCCUUAAAGUGUGCAACAAUCAUAUUAUUGACAUUAAUCACUUUCAAAUCCAGCUAAAGUAAAACAACUUUCCCAUUUCUUUUCUCUGCAAAGCAUCCGGAAACAAAAAUAAUAAAAUAAGCAAUCACUUGCCCAAAUAUGCACGCAAAUGUAAGCCCAUAUACACACAGAUUCACGAUUUUUCCAUAAAAAGUAGACCCAAUAUCUCAGGGAAAGAUUAGAGACACAUGCAUUCAGUGGAUUAAAGCUGACCCUAAGAACUGCUUGAUACUCGAACAGUCCUGCUCUGUCUCCCUAUUUCUUUAAGCUCUAAAAGAGUAACCAUAAGCAUAAAAAGGAACAAGCCUGUAUAUUUCAUACUCCACACCCAACAAACUUCAUUCCAACUGUUUGGCAAUGCUAAAUAGGAAGAAAUGCAUAUCAUGAUCAGUUAUCCACACCAUAGCCAUAUACUUUUGAAUGAAUCAUGUAUGUACUGCGCAGAUAGAACCCUAAGAAUUUCAGUACAAUUCACACUUUCGACUGAAUUACAGAAAACCCAUAACUCAAGAAGGAUAUACGAAGCAAGUGCAUAUAGCAUUUUCAUAGCGAGAUGGCAAUCAGUGCACAAUAGACAACCAUAGACUUUAGAGAACUUAUCUCGUAGAAGGAAGAGACCGAUUGCCAUGUGCCCAUCGAACCGGGAAGCAGACGACGACUCUGUUUAUUUUGGGGCCGGCUACCCCAUUCGGUCAAAGCCUAGACGACGAUGAUUCAGACAUAGAAGGAGCUAGGGCUCGAUUUCUGUAUUUCCCAAUGGCUUGGGCUCUGCAAACCUCGAACGUCCAGAUGAGGGCGGCAGAGAAGACGCUCGGUCGGUGGAGGACGGCGCCGCGAUAGAAUCUAGAGCGGAGUCCGACGAAGCCGCGAUCUGGGGACGACGGCAUCGCUUUGAUUUUUUCCCCAAUUUGCAGAUCUCAAAUCUGGAGACGUUCAUUUGUGGCUGGCGUUGGCCGUGGGCUUCACAGGUAAUCCUUAUCGUCGGGUGAAGACAAGGACAUCGCUCUAACAACAUUGCCCUAUCCUGAGAAAAUUGAAUGAGCGGUGUUUAGCCCUAU
RNAcentral lists this long non-coding RNA (7811 nucleotides) under Salvia miltiorrhiza (redroot sage). RNAcentral describes it as "long non-coding RNA (SMIL_LNC008526)". Lineage: Eukaryota; Viridiplantae; Streptophyta; Magnoliopsida; Lamiales; Lamiaceae. The record is from RNAcentral.